RNAcentral lists this ribosomal RNA (322 nucleotides) under uncultured eukaryote. Its description in RNAcentral is "partial 18S ribosomal RNA". It matches the Rfam family "Eukaryotic small subunit ribosomal RNA", at positions 1470 to 1796 of the family's 1831-position model. The record is from RNAcentral.
CCCUUAGAUGUUCUGGGCCGCACGCGUGCUACACUGAGUGGAUCAGCGGGUCAGGUUGCGCGAAAGCGUUUCCUAAUCUUUAAAUCCGCUCGUGAUGGGGAUUGACGGUUGCAAUUUUCUGUCAUGAACGAGGAAUACCUUGUAAGCGCGGGUCAUCAUCCCGCGCUGAAUACGUCCCUGCCCUUUGUACACACCGCCCGUCGCUCCUACCGGUUGAGUGGUCCGGUGAGGCUUUGGGAUCUGAGCGGAAAGAGCGUUUCGCUGUUUCUGCUCGGAAAACUCAGUCGAACCUUAUCAUUUAGAGGAAGGAGAAGUCGUAACA